CCUACGGAGGGCAGCAGUGAGGAAUAUUGGUCAAUGGGCGGAAGCCUGAACCAGCCAAGUAGCGUGCAGGAUGACGGCCCUACGGGUUGUAAACUGCUUUUAUACGGGAAUAACGCGCCUUACGUGUAGGGCUUUGCAUGUACCUUAUGAAUAAGGACCGGCUAAUUCCGUGCCAGCAGCCGCGGUAAUACGGAGGGUCCGAGCGUUAUCCGGAUUUAUUGGGUUUAACGGGUGCGUAGGCCGCAUGUUAAGUGUGCUGUGAAAUGUGCGGGCUCAACCCGGGCCUUGCAGGGGGAACUGGCGGGCUUGAGUCCGCGGAAAGCAGGCGGAAUGCGUGGUGUAGCGGUGAAAUGCUUAGAUAUGACGAAGAACCCCGAUUGCGAAGGCAGCUUGCUGCAGCGGAACUGACGCUGAUGCUCGAAAGCGCGGGUAUCGAACAGGAUUAGAUACCCGGGUAGUC
This 460-nucleotide ribosomal RNA is filed under the name uncultured bacterium. Its description in RNAcentral is "partial 16S ribosomal RNA". It matches the Rfam family "Bacterial small subunit ribosomal RNA", at positions 338 to 795 of the family's 1533-position model. The record is from RNAcentral.